This is a long non-coding RNA of Gorilla gorilla gorilla (western lowland gorilla), 1711 nucleotides long. RefSeq lists it as uncharacterized. The transcript has 3 exons. The record is from RefSeq and is a predicted model, not a curated record. NCBI's taxonomy places the organism in Eukaryota, Metazoa, Chordata, Mammalia, Primates, Hominidae.
GUCAUUGGACUCGGGGUCACUGUACAGCCCUGGUGGAGAGAGGGUGAAGGCUUCCCUGGGAACAGCCCACUGAGCCCCGGAGGCCAGGGGACCAAAGAGGCGGCCGGGAGGACAACUCGGCCCAAGAGGGGAACAGGGGGGCGAAUCAGGCUCCUUGGUACCCAGGAUGACGUUAGUUUAUUUAAAUAGGAGGCCAUGGCCCGUCCAGGUUUAUUCUCCCUGGCUCUCAAGCAAUGGAAAAACAAUUUGUUUUAUAAUGCUAAUGUAAUACUCAACUCCUCAAAUAAAAGUGCCCUUCAUGAUAAUGGGCCCAGAUAUAAACAGAAGUGGCUGAGAGGGCCCAACCUGCUUCUUCCAGGCAGGCCUGUGACCGGGAGGGGGCUGAGUCCAAACCCAGAGGAGACAGUUUGUUUAAAAUUUCUAUGGAGCUGGACUGUUUUAUAAAGGAAGGGGCUGAGUUAAGGCAUGCUUUGAAAGAAGACAAAUAGACUUUGCAGGAGCUAGACCCUCAAAUGAGUUAUAUUUUAAACAGUUUACUGACUUUAUGAUCUUUAAGCAGGAGCAAAUAAUACAUUCAGGUGCACAGCCGAUGCACCCCAACUUUCCAGUGCAAACAAGGCCGGGAGGAGUGGGAGGAGGCCUGGCAGCAGGCAGGACAGGUGGGCUGUGGGCUGCAGGGGGUGGGCAGGGGGACACCCCCAGGCCAGGGGUUCCCUUAACCUGGCUGUUACUCUGAGGUCAGGAAAAGCCCCUGGUGAAAAACUUCUCUGGUGGGUGAAGAUCAGUGAUGGCCCGAAAUCAUCUCGGUGUUCUGAAGCCUAGGAAAGCUGUUGGCCUGGCACCGGGGCCACUUCCUACAAGAAGAACUGGCAGCCUCAGGCGGAAUGUUUGGGGGCAGCUGACCUGAACAGACUGAUCCGUCUGCCUGGAAGAUUCUUCUAACUCAGCUGGAGAAUGGCUGCUCAAUAAUGCAGGUUUUGGGGUUCCACAGGCAUGAGCAGGCCAUGGGUCAGGCUGGUUCCGGCAUGGCUGUGGUCGGCCCACUUCCACAGACCACCACCGCAUGCUGUCCAUCUAUCCACCAGAGAUGGCCGCAGUGAGGACCAAGACAAGAGGACAAAUGAGGCCCUGUGUGUCUGAACACUGACCACUUGUAAAUCAGCUGCUAGAUACAAUGUGCUUAUACACAAUAUGCUUAUCCUCCUGCCUUGGAAAAUAUGUUUUCAAAUGAGAGAAAUCACAAAAUACGUGCAAAGCAUGAUUUGCAUGGAAGUCAUCAACAUUUCAAAAGAGGACCAGAUGUAAUGAUUCUUAUGUACGUCUGGCAUUCUAUUCUGAGGGGGUAGCAAUGUUAGGAUUUGCAAAAAAAUAAAGACAGAAUAAUUCAUAAAGUACAUAUUUAUCCUAUGAAAUAUUUUGCCUUUAAAAAAAUAGAAUCACUCCAUAUCCUGUAGCAAUCAAGAUUUUCACAUAAUUUGUGUUUUGACAAUAGUGGUUCAAAAAUUAAAAAGUGAUCCUUCUCAAAGCAUACAUUUAAAUAUAUCUUCAUCAAAAAUUGAUAGCAAAUCAAAUGUAAGAAAUAAAAAUAACUAAAUUAUUUGUGAUUUUCCAAAAAAAUUUUUCUUGUAGCAUACUCAAAGCUUUCUAUUAAAAUUUAAAGACACAAUGCACACUAUAACUUAUCCAUAAAAAGUUUUCAAUAAAAAGUUUC